RNAcentral lists this ribosomal RNA (252 nucleotides) under uncultured bacterium. Its description in RNAcentral is "partial 16S ribosomal RNA". It matches the Rfam family "Bacterial small subunit ribosomal RNA", at positions 524 to 776 of the family's 1533-position model. The record is from RNAcentral.
UACGGAGGGUGCAAGCGUUAUCCGGAUUCACUGGGUUUAAAGGGUGCGUAGGUGGGUAGGUAAGUCCGUGGUGAAAUCUCCAAGCUUAACUUGGAACUGCCGUUGAUACUAUUUGUCUUGAAUAUCAUGGAGGUAAGCGGAAUAUGUCAUGUAGCGGUGAAAUGCUUAGAUAUGACAUAGAACACCGAUAGCGAAGGCAGCUUACUACAUGUUCAUUGACGCUGAGGCACGAAAGCGUGGGGAGCAAACAGG